RNAcentral lists this ribosomal RNA (1239 nucleotides) under Triticum aestivum (bread wheat). RNAcentral's name for it is "partial small subunit ribosomal RNA". The record is from RNAcentral. Lineage: Eukaryota; Viridiplantae; Streptophyta; Magnoliopsida; Poales; Poaceae.
AUGCCUCGGAGUCGGAGCCAUCCCAAACUAAGCUCGCCUUGCUCCCCGAAGGCCGUCCACAAGGUCAUCUCCCGCUUCUCCCCCGAGAAGAAGCAGCUCGUGCGGUCAAUCGGUUUCGGGGGCCUGCUGGAGCUGCCACUGCACAGGAAGGUCGGCCACAGGUUCUCCCUGUGGCUCCUCACCAAGGUAGCACGAGAUGCCGCUGGUGCUCAACCUGCAGCAGCCGGCAAAGUAGCCGGCAUACCGUUCUACCCACACGACGUCAGCAAAGUGUUCGGCGUGCCUUCCGGAGGACGCCCGGUGCCCAAGAAGGAUCAGGGUCAGGUGCUGGUCUCCGACGAGGCCAAGGCGACCGUGCGCGGCACGCUCGGCUUGGACGAAGGAGAUGACAGCAGACUCAGAAUCCUGCAUGCUGCAAAGCAUGUACUGAAGAAGAAAUUCCGUCGGGGAAUGGCGGAGAAGGACGGGGCUGCAUUCAAGGUCGCGUUCGUGGUCUUCGUGGUGGAGAAUCUGCUGGCUCCAAGGGAGGUGGACUCUGUAUCCCUGGACUACUUCAUGGCCCUGCGGCGUCCCGAUGAGAUUCAGACGUAUGAUUGGUCCGAGUACGUGAUCCGUGUCAUACUGGACUCUGCCCGCGAAGUUCAGGCCGCUCUCGCUCAGGGGCAGCCCGUGGAGAAUCUGUUUGGGUGCAUUCUUUUCUUACAGAUAUUCUAUCUGGAUAACUUGGAUUUCGGUCAUGAGAAGAAUCUGCUGCAUCAUCAGACACUACGAUGCAAGGCGUAUGACUACGACACAAUUAAGAAGCUCGCGAAAGCCGAUCGCACCCGUUCUCGUGUUGGUGGCUUACGGUCCUUUGGUAAAAAGUUGGCACGAGAGGCCUCUGAUGUUUGUUACCAGCGUUCUGUCGCUCGAUGUGGUAACCACGUGAACGGUGUUGCGGUUGGUUCAGCCGACGGUGGAGAUCAGGAUGGCCACUCUGAUGAUAUAGUCUUCACAGAUGGUAGAGUUUUCAAUCAGAAAAUUUUAUGUGAAGUGUGUGGAGAUGUUGGUAUGGAAGAUCUUGUGAUGUUCUGCGCUUGCGGUGCUACUGUGCAUCAAUAUUGUUCAGACCCGGUUGUUCUUGAUGCAACAUUAGUAGAAUGGUCAUGUGAUGAGUGUCAGGCAAAGCAGGGCAAUGCCGCUGCUGACAAAUUAUCAGCAGAGGCGCUGUCAGGCAAAGCAGGGCAAUGCCGCUGCUGA